AGCGCAGGCGGUUCCUUAAGUCUGAUGUGAAAGCCCACGGCUCAACCCGUGGAAGGUCAUUGGAAACUGGGGAACUUGAAUGCAGAAGAGGAGAGUGGAAUUCCAUGUGUAGCGGUGAAAUGCGUAGAUAUAUGGAGGAACACCAGUGGCGAAGGCGACUCUCUGGUCUGUAAUUGACGCUGAGGCUCGAAAAGCGUGGGGAGCAAAACA
Molecule: ribosomal RNA, 210 nt
Filed under: uncultured Lactobacillales bacterium
Lineage: Bacteria; Bacillati; Bacillota; Bacilli; Lactobacillales
Description: partial 16S ribosomal RNA
Rfam family: Bacterial small subunit ribosomal RNA
Source: RNAcentral